Molecule: long non-coding RNA, 1178 nt
Organism: Balaenoptera musculus (blue whale)
Lineage: Eukaryota; Metazoa; Chordata; Mammalia; Artiodactyla; Balaenopteridae
Exons: 5
Source: RefSeq, a predicted model, not a curated record
CGCGACAAGCCGGAAGGAGGCGGGGCGUGGUCGCUGGGUUGGUGCUUGUGGCGGUUUCCUUGUUGGAGUGUUGGGUUCACUAUGCCUGGCCAGCCCUAGGAGGCUGUUCUCCUUCACUAUUGCUAAAUUUCCCACCUGCUUACCAUGGAAAAAGAACUGCAACCUGACCCCCACGCCAGCUGGUGGCAGUCUUAGACACUGACGAGCAGCAAAAUCCCAUGAGACCUCAACUGAUCUGUACCAUAAUCUUAAUCAUCUUCUGGAAUUUGCCUCAUCUAUAUGGCUCCUUGUGGGUGUAUCACAGUUAUUGCCAUAUACAGAAAAUUCUGACUGACAUUUCCAGAGCUUUUUGGUGACAGAAGUGAUUUUCACAUUCCCUCAAGCUGGAGCAUAUUUUCACAAGCACUAUUUGGGUUCUUUGGAUCAUUCAUCUUUAAAGUAAGAGAACUCUAUCUAGACCACUUCCAUUAUCUUGUGAUUCAUGGAAAACCAUUGACAACAGGAUUACUGACUGAUCUCGUUUUUAUCAGUUUUAGUGUUUUUAUAGUUAUUUCAUUGGGUGGUUGUAAGAGGUUUUACUAGGGGGUGUUAGGUAGCACGCACUUUAAAUCAAGCUACCUAUUCAAAAUGUCGGCAUUUUUGAAUUACUAAUUUUAGCAGUAUCUCCCAAGAUAUUUCUGUUGAAGAAUAAUAUUUGUACUGUGAGAGUUAUAUCUGGAACUCCUGUACUCCAGAAUCAAAAACAAAAAUGUGAAGCAAUAGUUUCUAUUUCACAGGCUAAUUAAAGCAAGAGAUUUGGUAUUUCUUUACAAAAAGAAUGAUGAAGGUAGAUAGUGGCCUGGAAACCAGUGAAGCUGAUUGCAAAAUGAAUAUUUAAAAGCCCCUCUGAUUUAAUGUGCUCUUGUUUCCAUUCCCUUUAUUCUUUACAAAGACAAAGAGUCCUCUGUAAAUAUUGCUUUAAGGAUUAUCAGGCUUCAAUUUUCAAUUUUGUCCGAAGGCCAUAAUUUAAACCAUAAUAUUGGCUUUACAAAUGUAAACAGUGAUUGAACCUCUUUCCUUUAGCUAAUAGAAAUGCCAAUGAAAUUAGAGUCAAUUAAAUAAUUGCUUUAUUAACCUAAUGUAUUACUGCUGUAAGACGUGCUGUGGCUCAUCCAGUCAGGAGGGGAGCUAGGAGAGAA